AAGGAGAUGAUUUUUCUUUAAGGUUUUUCAUACAAAAAUCAUGAUCUACGAAGAUCCAACCAUCUAAACUCAAAUUCGAUUUUGGAAACGUGAUCUACGAAGCCCGAUCUCCGUUUCUACCUAUUGGUUUGAGGAUUUGUUGUGUGGAGCUUGCUAAACACUCUCCAAGUGUUGGAUUUACAUUUGGUGGAAUUUUUGUGAUACAUUGCAAGGUGGCAUCUAGGAGACCUAAGCUUGAUAUCCGCGCAGCCAGAUGCUUUUAUUAGGGAUUCAACUAUUCAGAGUGAUGUCAGAAGAUUCUGCAUUGCGUACAAGUUAGAAGAUUUCGGUUCCCUGCCAGCCGUCUGGACGAUCGUGCCAUCCCGUUCGGACGACGUGCAAUACCGUCCGGACGCCCAACAGACCAAGCAUCAUCUGUCGGGACGACGUGCAUUCCGGUCCGGACCUUCACUGUUUCGAGAAGCUACUGUUCCAGCUUGCAUCCGACCGGACGUCUCAGCAGCCUAUUUGGACGCCUCUUAGUGAUCGAUCAGCUUCAAAUUCUUUCCAAGUUCAAUUUAAGGGAAGAUUGCUUCAACCGUCCAGACGACGUGGAUUUCUGUCCGGACGCGCUCAUACAUAAGGCAAGAAUCACAAUUCAGAUAUCACCGUCCGGACGACAGUCAGCCUUGGUCCAGACGCGCGUUCAUCAGUUAAGGAAAUUGCCGAUUCAACUUUAACCGUCUGGACGACUGCCUUUCAUGGUCCGAAUGCGCGCAUAGCAGAUAUGGAAAUUGCAUGUUGAAGAUUAGCCAUCCGGACGCUCAUCCCCCAUGGUCCGAACGCGUGAAAGCCUUAUAUGGAAAUUACUUGCAGCGGACGUGUGACCGUCCGAACGACGUUGUCUCACCGUAAGGAUGCGGCUCUUAAACAGGAAAGAUUUCUCAACGAAAUUUUUAGAAAAAUCUGUCGCACAGUUGUCCGUCCGAACGGCCCUUGUCCACUGUCCGGACGGCACCCGCAUAUAUCACUGCAGUCGUCCAUUCCGUACCUCGGCCUAUAAAUAGAGGCCCCUGGGCAUUGAGAACUGUAAGAAUUCGGUAUUGAAUUCUACAAGUGCUCAGAGAAGUUAUUUUGAGAGAUUGUUGAGCUGAUUAAGUUUGCUCUGAAGCCAUUGGAAGUGUGCUGUUGCUGCGCUACAGCUGAAGUCUAUCUUGGGGGUUGGCCUUAAGGUAAAGGAUUCCGUUGAAGACCCCUUCAGGUAGGAGACCUGGUUGGGAAGCGUUCGUGUUGGGUUACAUGUUAGAGAGCAAGGUACGACCACUACAUCGGGUAUAUGUGAGUGUUACUAUCUUGUAUCUAGCUUUGUCUUUUGAAUAGUGGAUAUCCUGGGUUUGGCUGCCCCGGAGUGGUUUUUCUCUUAAUCGAGUUUCCACUUCGUUAACAAAAAUCCUUGUGUCAUUUAUUUUCUGCAUAGUUAUUUUUGUUGACACU
This is a long non-coding RNA of Alnus glutinosa, 1473 nucleotides long. RefSeq lists it as uncharacterized. Lineage: Eukaryota; Viridiplantae; Streptophyta; Magnoliopsida; Fagales; Betulaceae. The record is from RefSeq and is a predicted model, not a curated record. The transcript is spliced from 4 exons.